Long non-coding RNA from Gossypium raimondii (Peruvian cotton), 1822 nucleotides. RefSeq lists it as uncharacterized. The transcript has 2 exons. Lineage: Eukaryota; Viridiplantae; Streptophyta; Magnoliopsida; Malvales; Malvaceae. The record is from RefSeq and is a predicted model, not a curated record.
AGUUUCCAACACAAGAAGAAAGAGUCCAACAAACAAGAAAUACUAUACUAGAAAAUAAUGGAGUGAGUCCCCCCUUUACCCACCACAGUUAGGAAGGUUCAUCUUCACCCAACGUGGUUGGCCAAAUGCAUCCACAACAUGAGAGUGAAAUCCAGACACUUGUCAAUAAUAUGCUGGAAACAACGCAUCUACUCUCUCUCCCUUCUAUUAUCAUAUCCUCUCUUUAUCAGGCUGUAAGCUAAGUGAAUGUGAUUUGUUAUAAGUAGAGCAGUCUCAAGUACCCUCCUCCACCAUCAAGAGAAUUGAGAGAGCAAUUGGUGUGGCUGUGGCGAGGAGAUCAUAUAUCUCACAUAAAUAAGAGUAUGGUUUUGGGUCGCAUGCUUGCGUGGAACCAUCAAAACUUUGCAUUUGAAAAGGGGUGAUGGUGCCACGCUGUGUGCGCCUAAAAUGCAUAUUCUUCUACUAUAUUUGAUGAAUGUUGGAAAAUGUGCAAAGCUUAGCACUAAGGUAGGGUAGUAGCUGACUGAUAAGCUCCCAGUACAGAAUUAACAACCCUGGGCUUUUUGAUGUUUUGACAAGAAAAAAAAGAUUACAAAUUAGAGUAGAGAUAUCAGUUGGUUUGUUUGCAGGACAGUAAAGGUCUCUACUGUCUAGCUGAAGAUCAAGUGACCACUUCCUUAAGAAAAUGCUGGUUUGAAAACAAUUAGCCAUCCACCCCCACGAUGGACUGCGCUUUCGCUGAGAUUAACUUUGAAAUUAAUUCAAAAUGUGUGGUUGAAUUCAAAACUAAUUAUGAGGUUGGGGUUAAAAUGGAAAAAUGAUCUUUAAAUAUAAUGUAUAUAUAAACUAAAAAUUAUUAAUGAUUUGAUAUUUAACACUGUAGUUUUAUUAAUAAAAUAAUAUUGUGUAUCAUAAUAUUUGUCUUUAUUUUUAUUAUUUUUUAAAAUAAUGUUUACAUCAAUUUAAGUGUAUUGGUAAUUGGAUUAUAUGUAUUUUUAUAAUAUUUAACGUAUAAAACUUUAAAAUUCAGAUAAAUACUUUAAUGAUUUAUUUAAUAAUUAUUUUAAAUUAUUUAUUAUAUUAAAUGAUAAAAUUUUAAUAAAUUAUAUUUAAUUAAGAAUUAUUUCAAACAAAUGAGAAUAAUUGUAAGUUUAUUGAUAUGGAAUAGAAAUAAAUAAAAUGUGAGUAUUUGAUAUUAUUUUACAACAGUUUUAAAAAAUUGUAGUGUAUCUUUUUUAAUAUUUUAUCUAGAAUUUAAAAACUUCACUAAAUAUUUCCCCAAAAUGAUAUAUUUGUUAAAGGAGGGUCCAAUUAAUAUUUAGUGAGAAUUCGAGACAUCAAUUGGCAAAGUACAUUGAUCUCAUGUUAUCGAAACACAAGUUUGCAUUGCAACAGAAAUUUUCAAGAGCUAAUAAUGGAGCUGGAUGCACCAAAUUGAAUUUAAAUGCGCAUCCAAAAGGACACUAAGAGAAAAUGGUGAUCCCCUUUUCACCUUUGUUAUAGACACCAAUAAAAAACAAUAGUUGGGCUGGGACAAAUUUGGUUUCUUGACCUAUUCUCUUUGGUUUGCUAGCUUAGCGUACGUGGAAGAAUAGAAUUUUUUUUGUCUUUUAAGGAUUAAUAUGGAGUCUUAUAGAAAUUAUUAAGAUAUCAGUAAAUUCAAUGUAUAUGUAGGAUCUGCCUAGUUAGUGCAAUUUAGAUUUUGAGCGCCUCUUGAGAGGGACUUUGGAAUGAUAAAUAGUUGAAAUUUGGUUGUAUUUAUUUAGCCUAGUUGGUUUUUUACAAAAUAAAUAAAUAAGAUUUGAAAUUGGUAUUUAAAUUA